RNAcentral lists this ribosomal RNA (302 nucleotides) under uncultured bacterium. RNAcentral describes it as "partial 16S ribosomal RNA". It matches the Rfam family "Bacterial small subunit ribosomal RNA", at positions 508 to 807 of the family's 1533-position model. The record is from RNAcentral.
GCAGUAGCCACGGGAAUACGAAGGGGGCUAGCGUUGUUCGGAUUUACUGGGCGUAAAGCGCACGUAGGCGGCUUUUUAAGUCAGAGGUGAAAGCCCGGGGCUCAACCCCGGAAUUGCCUUUGAAACUGGAAAGCUAGAAUCUUGGAGAGGUCAGUGGAAUUCCGAGUGUAGAGGUGAAAUUCGUAGAUAUUCGGAAGAACACCAGUGGCGAAGGCGACUGACUGGACAAGUAUUGACGCUGAGGUGCGAAAGCGUGGGGAGCAAACAGGAUUAGAUACCCGCGUAGUCCCUGUCUCUUAUAC